CAGACAUCUCCUGUGGAAGUUCUCCGACCAACUUGUUGGAGCUCAAGUCCAAACUGAUCGUCAGGCUUGUCAAGGAACCGAUCUCGGGAGGAAUAGGACCUGAGAGGCUAUUACCACUCAUAUCGAGCAAGGAAUUUCUCCAGUGAAGCUGUUCUCACUAAGGUCGAGCUGUUCUAAGUUCAUCAGCUCUCCUAAUUGAGGAGGGAUUUCUCCGGUGAUGUGAUUAUUAUGGACGUCCAGAAGCUCCAAGACCGUGAUGUUCGCAAUCUCGGAAGAAAGCUGGUUCUCUCCAAGCCUCAAUCUAACUAAAGAUUGACAGUUUGCAACACUUGGUGGCAACCUUCCUGUCAAAGAAUUCCCCAGCAGAAGCAGCUUGCUGAGCUUGUUCAGGCCAAAAAUCUUCUCUGGGAUAGCCCCUGUCAGCCUAUUCUUCGACAGGUCGAGUGCAUAGAGCUCUGUACAGUUGCCGAAGGAUUGUGGAAUGGCUCCUGUCAACGAGUUGCCCCACAAGAAGAGACUCUGUAGGGACUUCAAAUCCCCAAUCUGCCAAGGAAGAGACCCAGACAAUGCAUUUUUAUCAAGCUGAAGUGUAGUCAAGCUGCUGCAGUUGCUCACUUCCUCUGGGAUGGGGCCUGUGAGCAUGUUAUCAGAAAGACGGAGUUGUUCCAAGACUGCCAACCUCCCUAGCUCGCGGGGGAUCUCCCCGGAGAGCUUGUUAGCAGAGAGGUCAAGAACCACCAAUGCCGAGCAGUUGGCAAGCUCACCCGGGACCGUUCCUGUGAGUAGGUUCCCCCACAAGAGCAGGCUUGUGAGCUUCUGCAGCCUGCCCAAUUCUGGUGGGAUCAAACCGGCGAUCUUGUUCAUAUGCAAGUAAAGGUUUCUCAACUCCGAGCAUGAGCCUAACUCAGGCGGCACUGAACCAGAGAUGUCGGUGUCGUAGAGAGCCAGUGUCUGGAGAUUCACCAAGUUGCCAAACUCCGAUGGGAUUGUGCCGGAGAGGCCAGUGGCGGCGGCACCGAAGGUGGUGAGGUUGGUCAUCAGGCCGAGUUGUGGAGGGAGCUGGCCGGUGAGGUAGGGAUUGCCUCCGAUGCGGAACUGUUGGAGAGAAAACAAAGAACCAAGCUGGGAGGGGAUGGAGCCAUUAAGGAGGUUGUCUUGGAGGCAGAGGACCUGGAGAGAGGUGAGGUUGGCAAGAGUUGCAGGAAUAAGGCCAGACAGGCGGUUCGAGUUAAGGAGCAGGAACUGGAGAGAGGACAUUGCUCCAAGCUGCGGCGGUAUAGGGCCUGAUAAGGAAUUGGAGGAGAGAUCGAGAAGGCGGAGUGAGGCAAGGGCGCCGAGCGACGGGGGGAUGCUGCCGGAAAUGUUGGCCGAGGAGAGGUUGAGGAGUUGGAGGGAGGUAAGGGAGGAGAGCUCAGGUGGAAUGGAGGUGAGGUUGAGGAAGGUGUUUGGGAGGGAGAGAGAGAUGACCCUGCCCUGAGGGGAGCAGGUGACCCCUUGCCAAGAGCAGGGGGUGGGGUGAGAGGGAUCCCAUGAGAGCAGGAGACCAGGGGAGGAGCUGGUGGAGGUUGUAGCUAACAAGGACAGGAGAGCCUUGCCAUCAGGGGAAAGAGAGGUUAUGGGGCUAAUGGAACUGAGAAUGGCCAUUGACAAGAAUGAGAAGAAGAGUGAGGUAAUGGAAAUGGUAUUGACCUUCCUCAUCUGGAGUGUGUUCCUUCAGCUCUUUUGUGCUUGUCUCAACCUCUUCUCUGACAGUGAUGGAGGUCUAAAGUUCAGCAAUGGACACCAUUUGCAGCUUAUCUGAAGUGCCUGCUCGAGUUCAGUGAAGAAUGGUGGGAAUGGAAGCAAUGCAUACAAGGGAGCAGGAGGACUAUAGUUUCUCGACCACAACCAAGUGGGAUGAGGCAAGAAGUCAGAAUGCUUUGGAUGGAAGCAAUAGUUGCAAAGUCUUCAGAACACGUUCACAGAAGGCCAAAUAGCAUUACUGGAAGUGAAGGUGGUUUUCAGGACUUGAACAAGAGUGGUCAGGGUGCUACACUUGCAGCAGGCAAGACUACUUGAAUGACUGUUGUGCCUCACUCCAAGUAUGCACAAGGUUCUUCAAUGGAAGAUGAUGCUGAAGCCGGUAGAGCUACAGGAAUGAAGAACUGAAUGAUUGUUCUAAACACAGAAUCUCAAAUGUCUGGAUAAGAAGAGAUCCAAGAUCUACUCACUUGGAUUAAGGGUGAGGAACAGAACUGUAGUCCAUGUGAGAGAGGUGUAGAAGAGAACUGAAGCUUGCUUCAACUCCACCGAAGUGCCUGCUGCUGCUCUUCUUCUACUACUGGUACUACUGAUUUCCAAAACUCUUUAGACUAAAAUACCGGAGACACCAACUCAUCUUUCA
Molecule: long non-coding RNA, 2383 nt
Organism: Musa acuminata AAA Group (dessert banana)
Lineage: Eukaryota; Viridiplantae; Streptophyta; Magnoliopsida; Zingiberales; Musaceae
Exons: 3
Source: RefSeq, a predicted model, not a curated record